GACGAACGCUGGCGGCGUGCUAACACAUGCAAGUCGAACGGAAAGGCCCUGCUUUUGUGGGGUGCUCGAGUGGCGAACGGGUGAGUAACACGUGAGUAACCUGCCCUUGACUUUGGGAUAACUUCAGGAAACUGGGGCUAAUACCGGAUAGGAGCUCCUGCUGCAUGGUGGGGGUUGGAAAGUUUCGGCGGUUGGGGAUGGACUCGCGGCUUAUCAGCUUGUUGGUGGGGUGGUGGCUUACCAAGGCGUUGACGGGUAGCCGGCAUGAGAGGGUGACCGGCCGUGACGCGACGGAGACCCGACCACGACCGCCGGUGGAGGGGGCAGUGGUACAGUCGGAGCAGGGGGGGCAGCCCCGAGGCGGUACGCGCCGGGGCUGGAGUACGCCCUUCGGUUGUUACCCCGCGUCCGCCUGUGACGAGGCGUGAGUGACGGUAAGAGGAGACUAAGCACCGGCAAACUACUUGUCCGAAGCCGGGUUAAUAGUCGGACGCGAACACGCUUGAUC
RNAcentral lists this ribosomal RNA (508 nucleotides) under uncultured bacterium. RNAcentral describes it as "partial 16S ribosomal RNA". It matches the Rfam family "Bacterial small subunit ribosomal RNA", at positions 35 to 539 of the family's 1533-position model. The record is from RNAcentral.